AAGCGGCGGACGGGUGAGUAACGCGUGGGUAACCUACCCUGUACACACGGAUAACAUACCGAAAGGUAUGCUAAUACGGGAUAAUAUAUUUGAGGGGCAUCUCUUAAAUAUCAAAGGUGAGCCAGUACAGGAUGGACCCGCGUCUGAUUAGCUAGUUGGUAAGGUAACGGCUUACCAAGGCGACGAUCAGUAGCCGACCUGAGAGGGUGAUCGGCCACAUUGGAACUGAGACACGGUCCAA
Molecule: ribosomal RNA, 241 nt
Filed under: uncultured bacterium
Lineage: Bacteria
Description: partial 16S ribosomal RNA
Rfam family: Bacterial small subunit ribosomal RNA
Source: RNAcentral